Molecule: ribosomal RNA, 256 nt
Filed under: uncultured bacterium
Lineage: Bacteria
Description: partial small subunit ribosomal RNA
Rfam family: Bacterial small subunit ribosomal RNA
Source: RNAcentral
AGGACGAACGCUGGCGGCGUGCUUAACACAUGCAAGUCGAGCGGAAAGGCCCUUCGGGGUACUCGAGCGGCGAACGGGUGAGUAACACGUGAGAAACCUGCCCUGGACUUUGGGAUAACCCUCGGAAACGGGGGCUAAUACCGAAUACGACCUUCAACCGCAUGGUUUGUUGGUGGAAAGUUUUUCGGUCUGGGAUGGUCUCGCGGCCUAUCAGCUUGUUGGUGGGGUAAUGGCCUGCCAAGGCGACGACGGGUAG